RNAcentral lists this ribosomal RNA (261 nucleotides) under Triticum aestivum (bread wheat). RNAcentral describes it as "partial small subunit ribosomal RNA". The record is from RNAcentral. Lineage: Eukaryota; Viridiplantae; Streptophyta; Magnoliopsida; Poales; Poaceae.
AUGACGAGGCAAUCGACGCUGCGCCGUAGCCUCGCCGUCCCCCCUGUGGCUGCGGGAUCCGAUGGGGACGGAUCUCACGGGAUGAUGACGCGAGCGCGGCGCCGGCGGCUUAGCCUCCUCGCGAAUGCACUUCGGAAGCAAGAUGCGGGAGCGUCGGGAGAAGCAUCACACGGUGAAGCAGUAGCUCAAUGGAAUGCCUUUCGCUUUGCCCACCAUAUAGCCCACAUGAAUGGAGGGAUUGGGCCAACCUGCUCCCUGUAG